RNAcentral lists this unclassified non-coding RNA (338 nucleotides) under soil metagenome. RNAcentral's name for it is "partial contains 5.8S ribosomal RNA, internal transcribed spacer 2, and large subunit ribosomal RNA". The stretch from base 1 to 120 matches the Rfam family "5.8S ribosomal RNA", at positions 35 to 154 of the family's 154-position model. The record is from RNAcentral.
GAUGAAGAACGCAGCGAAAUGCGAUAAGUAAUGUGAAUUGCAGAAUUCAGUGAAUCAUCGAAUCUUUGAACGCACAUUGCGCCCGCCAGUAUUCUGGCGGGCAUGCCUGUCUGAGCGUCAUUUCAACCCUCAAGCAACUUCUGCUUGGUGUUGGGGAUCGGCCGUCAAACGCCGCCCCCGAAAUCUAUUGGCGAUCUCGCUGUAGCUUCCUAUGCGUAGUAGUAACAUCUCGCAUCUGGAGAGCGGCGCGGUCAUGCCGUAAAACACCCAACUUCUCAGGUUGACCUCGGAUCAGGUAGGGAUACCCGCUGAACUUAAGCAUAUCAAUAAGCGGAGGA